GAUGAACGCUAGCUACAGGCUUAACACAUGCAAGUCGAGGGGCAGCAUGGUCUUAGCUUGCUAAGGCCGAUGGCGACCGGCGCACGGGUGAGUAACACGUAUCCAACCUGCCGUCUACUCUUGGACAGCCUUCUGAAAGGAAGAUUAAUACAAGAUGGCAUCAUGAGUCCGCAUGUUCACAUGAUUAAAGGUAUUCCGGUAGACGAUGGGGAUGCGUUCCAUUAGAUAGUAGGCGGGGUAACGGCCCACCUAGUCUUCGAUGGAUAGGGGUUCUGAGAGGAAGGUCCCCCACAUUGGAACUGAGACACGGUCCAAACUCCUACGGGAGGCAGCAGUGAGGAAUAUUGGUCAAUGGGCGCAGGCCUGAACCAGCCAAGUAGCGUGAAGGAUGACUGUCCUAUGGGUUGUAAACUUCUUUUAUAAAGGAAUAAAGUCGGGUAUGUAUACCCGUUUGCAUGUACUUUAUGAAUAAGGAUCGGCUAACUCCGUG
Molecule: ribosomal RNA, 490 nt
Filed under: uncultured bacterium
Lineage: Bacteria
Description: partial 16S ribosomal RNA
Rfam family: Bacterial small subunit ribosomal RNA
Source: RNAcentral